RNAcentral lists this ribosomal RNA (465 nucleotides) under uncultured bacterium. Its description in RNAcentral is "partial 16S ribosomal RNA". It matches the Rfam family "Bacterial small subunit ribosomal RNA", at positions 28 to 507 of the family's 1533-position model. The record is from RNAcentral.
GACGAACGCUGGCGGCGUGCUUAACACAUGCAAGUCGAACGGAAAGGCCCUGCUUGCAGUGUACUCGAGUGUCGAACGGGUGAGUAACACGUGUGUGAUCUGCCCUGCACUUCGGGAUAAGCCUGGAAAACUGGGGCUAAUACAGGAUAGGAGCCAUUCUUAGUGUUAUUGUUGGAAAGUUUUUUCGGUGUAGGAUGAGCUCGCGGCCUUUCAGCUUGUUGGUGGGGUAAUGGCCUACCAAGGCGGCGGCGGGUAGCCGGCCUGAGAGGGUGGACGGCCACAAUGGGACUGGAAUACGGCCCAGACUCCUACGGGAGGCAGCAGUGGGGAAUAUUGCACCAUGGGCGGAAGCCUGAUGCAGCGACGCCGCGUGGGGGAUGACGGCCUUCGGGUUGUAAACCCCUUUCGGUCGGGACCAAGCUUUUUGUGACGGUACCUAGAUAAGAAGCACCGGCUAACUACGUG